GAGCGCAAACCUCGCCUUUAGUUGACAGCAUGUUUGGGUGGGCACUCUAAAGGAACUGCCGGUGACAAGCCGGUAGGAAGGUGGGGAUGACGUCAAGUCCUCAUGGCCCUUAUGUCCUGGGCUACACACGUGCUACAAUGGCGGUGACAGUGGGACGCCAGGCAGCGAUGCCGAGCUGAUCUCUAAAGCCGUCUCAGUUCGGAUUGCACUCUGCAACUCGGGUGCAUGAAGGUGGAAUCG
RNAcentral lists this ribosomal RNA (240 nucleotides) under uncultured Alphaproteobacteria bacterium. Its description in RNAcentral is "partial 16S ribosomal RNA". It matches the Rfam family "Bacterial small subunit ribosomal RNA", at positions 1094 to 1334 of the family's 1533-position model. Lineage: Bacteria; Pseudomonadati; Pseudomonadota; Alphaproteobacteria. The record is from RNAcentral.